GAUGAACGCUGACAGAAUGCUUAACACAUGCAAGUCUUUGGCGAAUCUGUGCUUGCACAGGCUAGCCAAGGCGGACGGGUGAGUAACGCGUAAAGAACUUGCCCUGCAGACAGGGAUAACAGACGGAAACGACUGAUAACACCUGAUACAGUUGCCGGCACGCAUGUGCCUGGCAAUGAAAAGAGAUGCUGCAGGAGAGCUUUGCGUCCUAUUAGCUUGUUGGUGAGGUGACGGCUCACCAAGGCGAUGAUAGGUAGCCGGCCUGAGAGGGUGAACGGCCACAAGGGGACUGAGAUACGGCCCCUACUCCUACGGGAGGCAGCAGUGGGGAAUAUUGGACAAUGGGGGCAACCCUGAUCCAGCAAUUCUGUGUGCACGAAGAAGGUUUUCGGAUUGUAAAGUGCUUUCAGCAGGGAAGAAGAAAGUGACGGUACCUGCAGAAGAAGCGACGGCUAAAUACGUG
This 463-nucleotide ribosomal RNA is filed under the name uncultured bacterium. Its description in RNAcentral is "partial 16S ribosomal RNA". It matches the Rfam family "Bacterial small subunit ribosomal RNA", at positions 28 to 507 of the family's 1533-position model. The record is from RNAcentral.